Molecule: unclassified non-coding RNA, 416 nt
Filed under: soil metagenome
Description: partial contains 5.8S ribosomal RNA, internal transcribed spacer 2, and large subunit ribosomal RNA
Rfam family: 5.8S ribosomal RNA (bases 1-120)
Source: RNAcentral
GAAGAAGAACGCAGCGAAAUGCGAUAAGUAAUGUGAAUUGCAGAAUUCAGUGAAUCAUCGAAUCUUUGAACGCACCUUGCACUCCUUGGUAUUCCGAGGAGUACGCCUGUUCGAGUGUUAUGAAGCUCUCAAAACGCAAUUGGCUUAAAACCUGAUUGUUGUUUUGGAUUUGAACUUUGCCGUGUUAUAACGGCUGGUUUUAAAAGUAUUAGCUGGUACUAGAACGAAUUGGUUCUACUCAACGUGAUAAUUAUCUGAUCGUUGAGGACAUUCCUUUCACGAGGAAUGGCCAUAGUAAAUUCAAUGGACUGCUUCUAAUCUGGCUUUAAUUCUUUAUUGGAUUAACCACUUUUCAAAUCUGACCUCGAAUCAGGUGGGACUACCCGCUGAACUUAAGCAUAUCAAUAAGCGGAGGA